Molecule: ribosomal RNA, 711 nt
Filed under: uncultured marine alveolate
Lineage: Eukaryota
Description: SSU rRNA
Rfam family: Eukaryotic small subunit ribosomal RNA
Source: RNAcentral
GGUAAAAAAGCUCGUAGUUGGAUUUCUGUUGAGGACGACCGGUCCAUACCACGUAUGCGCAUCUGGUUCGGCCUCGGCAUCCUCUCGAUGGACGUUUCUGCGCUUGAUUGCGUGGAGCGGAUCUCGGGACUUUUACUUUGAGGAAAUUAGAGUGUUCACGGCAGGCUAUCGCCAGAAUACAUUAGCAUGGAAUAAUAUUAUAGGACUUUUGUUCUAUUUUGUUGGUUUCUAGAACAGAGGUAAUGAUUAAUAGGGACAAUUGGGGGCAUUCGUAUCAACACGUCAGAGGUGGAAUUCUUGGAUUGUGUUGCGACGAACUACUGCGAAAGCAUUUGCCAAGGAUGUUUUCAUUGAUCAAGAACGAAAGUAAGGGGAUCGAAGACGAUUAGAUACCGUCGUAGUCUUUACCAUAAACUAUGCCAACUAGAGAUGGGACAUCGUUCACUUACGACUUGUUCCGCACCUUAUGAGAUAUCAAAGUUUUUGGGUUCCGGGGGGAGUAUGGUCGCAAGUCUGAAACUUAAAGGAAUUGACGGAAGGGCACCACCAGGAGUGGAGCCUGCGGCUUAAUUUGACUCAACACGGGGAAACUCACCAGGUCCAGACAUAAUAAGGAUUGACAGAUUGAUAGCUCUUUCUUGAUUUUAUGGGUGGUGGUGCAUGGCCGUUCUUAGUUCGUGGAGUGAUUUGUCUGCUUAAUUGCGUUAACGA